UACGGAGGGUGCAAGCGUUAUCCGGAUUCAUUGGGUUUAAAGGGUCCGUAGGCGGUUUAGUAAGUCAGUGGUGAAAGCCCAUCGCUCAACGGUGGAACGGCCAUUGAUACUGCUAGACUUGAAUUAUUGGGAAGUAACUAGAAUAUGUAGUGUAGCGGUGAAAUGCUUAGAGAUUACAUGGAAUACCAAUUGCGAAGGCAGGUUACUACCAAUGGAUUGACGCUGAUGGACGAAAGCGUGGGUAGCGAACAGG
Molecule: ribosomal RNA, 253 nt
Filed under: uncultured bacterium
Lineage: Bacteria
Description: partial 16S ribosomal RNA
Rfam family: Bacterial small subunit ribosomal RNA
Source: RNAcentral